RNAcentral lists this ribosomal RNA (1272 nucleotides) under Nocardiopsis sp. Its description in RNAcentral is "bacterial SSU rRNA". It matches the Rfam family "Bacterial small subunit ribosomal RNA", at positions 33 to 1360 of the family's 1533-position model. The record is from RNAcentral. Lineage: Bacteria; Bacillati; Actinomycetota; Actinomycetes; Streptosporangiales; Nocardiopsidaceae.
GCGGCAUGGCGGCCUGCUGCACAUGCAGUCGAGCGGUAAGGCCCUUCGGGGUACACGAGCGGCGAACGGGUGAGUAACACGUGAGCAACCUGCCCCUGACUCCGGGAUAAGCGGUGGAAACGCCGUCUAAUACCGGAUACGACCCGCCACCUCAUGGUGGAGGGUGGAAAGUUUUUCGGUCAGGGAUGGGCUCGCGGCCUAUCAGCUUGUUGGUGGGGUAACGGCCUACCAAGGCGAUUACGGGUAGCCGGCCUGAGAGGGCGACCGGCCACACUGGGACUGAGACACGGCCCAGACUCCUGCGGGAGGCAGCAGUGGGGAAUAUUGCGCAAUGGGCGAAAGCCUGACGCAGCGACGCCGCGUGGGGGAUGACGGCCUUCGGGUUGUAAACCUCUUUUACCACCAACGCAGGCUCCCAGUUCUCUGGGGGUUGACGGUAGGUGGGGAAUAAGGACCGGCUAACUACGUGCCAGCAGCCGCGGUAAUACGUAGGGUCCGAGCGUUGUCCGGAAUUAUUGGGCGUAAAGAGCUCGUAGGCGGCGUGUCGCGUCUGCUGUGAAAGACCGGGGCUUAACUCCGGUUCUGCAGUGGAUACGGGCAUGCUAGAGGUAGGUAGGGGAGACUGGAAUUCCUGGUGUAGCGGUGAAAUGCGCAGAUAUCAGGAGGAACACCGGUGGCGAAGGCGGGUCUCUGGGCCUUACCUGACGCUGAGGAGCGAAAGCAUGGGGAGCGAACAGGAUUAGAUACCCUGGUAGUCCAUGCCGUAAACGUUGGGCGCUAGGUGUGGGGACUUUCCACGGUUUCCGCGCCGUAGCUAACGCAUUAAGCGCCCCGCCUGGGGAGUACGGCCGCAAGGCUAAAACUCAAAGGAAUUGACGGGGGCCCGCACAAGCGGCGGAGCAUGUUGCUUAAUUCGACGCAACGCGAAGACCUUACCAAGGUUUGACAUCACCCGUGGACUCGCAGAGAUGUGAGGUCAUUUAGUUGCGGUGACAGGUGUGCAUGGCUGUCGUCAGCUCGUGUCGUGAGAUGUUGGGUAGUCCCGCACGAGCGCACCCUGUCAUGUGCAGCACGUAUGUGGGACUCAUGGAGACUGCGGUCACUCGAGAAGGUGGGAUGACGUCAGUCAUCAUGCCUAUUUCUGGCUGCAACAUGCUACAUUGACGUACAAUGGCUUGCAUCCGUAAGUUGAGCGAAUUCUUAAGCGUUCAUUCGAUUGGGUCGCACUGACCUGAGGUGGAGAUCCUUGAUAGAUCCGGAUCAUCAAGCUCG